CACGCAGGUUUGGUCCUAACCUCAUAAUCAAUUCUUUCUUGACUUAUACAUGCAAGUCUCCGCACACCCGUGAGAACGCCCUUCUCCCCCAAAAAGAGGAGAAGGAGCUGAUAUCAGGCACCUUAAUUAGCCCAAGACAUCUAGCCAUGCCACACCCACAAGGGUCCUCAGCAGUGAUUAACCUUAAAUAUUAACGCAAGUUUGAUUUAGUCAAUGAAAAUAGAGCCGGCCAAUCUGGUGCCAGCCGCCGCGGCUAUACCACGUGGCUCAAAUUGACUCUACCCGGCGUAAAGCGUGAUUAAAGUUCUCCCUUUUCCCCCAAAAAAAUUAGGGUUGAACUUAAGCAAUUAAAUGUGCAAAUAUAACUCAAAGGAAACCCAUUAUCCGAAAGAUACCCUAACUAACCAACUUGAACUCACGACAGCUAGGACACAAACUGGGAUUAGAUACCCCACUAUGCCUAACCGUAAACCUUUUACUUACACUACAACCGCCAGGAAACUACGAGCCAAGCUUAAAACCCAAAGGACUUGACGGUGCCCCAUAUCCCCCUAGAGGAGCCUGUCCUAUAAUCGACGAUCCCCGUUUAACCUCACCAUUUUUAGUUUUUUCAGCCUGUAUACUUCCGUCGCCAGCUUACCACGUGAGUGAAAGUAAGCUUAAUGUCAUACAUGGACAAUACGUCAGGUCAAAGUGCAGCUUAUAAAAUGGGAAGAGAUGGGCUACACUUUCUAAUAUAGAAAAAAACGAAAAAUUAAUUGAAAUAUUAUUAGAAGGUGGAUUUAGUAGUAAAAGCGGAAUAGAAUACCCCUUUUAACCUGCACUGGAGCGUGUACACACCGCCCGUCACCCUCUUCAAAUAAUUACUAAUAAGUACAUAACACAACUACUAACUUUAGAAGAGGCAAGUCGUAACAUGGUAAGUACACCGGAAGGUGCACUUGGAAU
RNAcentral lists this non-coding RNA (948 nucleotides) under Pristimantis caryophyllaceus. RNAcentral describes it as "12S ribosomal RNA". The stretch from base 96 to 948 matches the Rfam family "Bacterial small subunit ribosomal RNA". Lineage: Eukaryota; Metazoa; Chordata; Amphibia; Anura; Strabomantidae. The record is from RNAcentral.